UAUGGCCUCCUUUGUUCCCAUUUCAGGGUUCCACAAACUGUCUUGCAUGUGUGUGUCUGGUUACCCCGACCUUCUGUGAAGAUAAAGAAAGCUGGGCCUGUCGAAGGAUGACAGGGAUGUGCUGCCAGGUUGCUAUAGAAACCCAGGCUCUGCCUCUUGCACCUUGAGGGGGUGGGAGGGGCUGGUCUCCCUCCAGGCUGAACCCCACUUCCUCGGCAGGACCCCAGUCUCAGCAGCCUCCUGAUUUCAUAACCAGGCCGGACCACGUGCAAUAGGGUGGAAACCAAACUGCUCCAUGCCACGUUAUUUAAAAGAAAGGCAGAGUUUGUGGUGGCUUUUUUUUUUUUUGGAUUGUUUGUAAUUUUUUUUAAUAAAAGUAUUUUGGAAG
RNAcentral lists this small RNA (388 nucleotides) under Pongo abelii (Sumatran orangutan). RNAcentral describes it as "processed transcript". The record is from RNAcentral. Lineage: Eukaryota; Metazoa; Chordata; Mammalia; Primates; Hominidae.